GGCUCAGAUGGUAAAGCGCCUGCCUGCAUUGCAGGAGACCCGGGUUCGAUCCCUGG
This 56-nucleotide transfer RNA is filed under the name Bos taurus (domestic cattle). The record is from Rfam by way of RNAcentral. Lineage: Eukaryota; Metazoa; Chordata; Mammalia; Artiodactyla; Bovidae. RNAcentral also lists the same sequence under 2 other names.